GAUGAAGAACGUAGUGAAAUGCGAUAAGUAAUGUGAAUUGCAGAAUUCAGUGAACCAUCGAAUCUUUGAACGCACAUUGCGCCCGGCAGUAAUCUGCCGGGCAUGCCUGUCCGAGCGUCAUUUCUGCCCUCGAGCGAGUCCAGCAUCUAGGUGCUGGGCCCGCCCGGCGUUGGGGCACUACGGGAAGCCCUGUGCUGUCCCCCGUAGGCCCCGAAAUGAAGUGGCGGUCCUGCCGCGGCGCCCCCUGCGUAGUAUAACAGCUCGCUUCGGGACCCGGUGGAGGCCUGCCGUCAAACCUUACUCUCUAAGUUUGACCUCGGAUCAGGUAGGGUUACCCGCUGAACUUAAGCAUAUCAAUAAGCGGAGGA
RNAcentral lists this unclassified non-coding RNA (368 nucleotides) under soil metagenome. RNAcentral describes it as "partial contains 5.8S ribosomal RNA, internal transcribed spacer 2, and large subunit ribosomal RNA". The stretch from base 1 to 120 matches the Rfam family "5.8S ribosomal RNA", at positions 35 to 154 of the family's 154-position model. The record is from RNAcentral.